UGUGGGGUUAAGGACUUAUAGAAGAAAGGGAGGGAGAGAUCACAUUUACAAACUUAUAUAAGCUUUCCAUGAAGGAUUACAUGAGUGCACCAAAAUACACUUCCAUGCUAUGUAAGCUUUUAUGAAAUGCCCCAAGGGGGGAAAACAAAAGAACAAGGAUUCACAAUAAUAUUCUUCUGGAGAGUCCCAAAUAUAAAAAUAGAAAACCUGAACUUCUAGUGCC
This 223-nucleotide unclassified non-coding RNA is filed under the name Hevea brasiliensis (rubber tree). Lineage: Eukaryota; Viridiplantae; Streptophyta; Magnoliopsida; Malpighiales; Euphorbiaceae. The record is from RNAcentral.